UACAUGGGGUGCAAACGUUGUUCGGAAUUACUGGGCGUAAAGCGCGUGUAGGCGGCUAAGUAAGUCGGGCGUGAAAUCCCACGGCUCAACCGUGGAAGUGCACUCGAAACUGCAUAGCUAGAGUCCUGGAGAGGAAGGUGGAAUGCUUGGUGUAGAGGUGAAAUUCGUAGAUAUCAAGCGGAACACCGGUGGCGAAGGCGGCCUUCUGGACAGUGACUGACGCUGAGACGGCGAAAGCGUGGGGAGCAAACAGGG
This 255-nucleotide ribosomal RNA is filed under the name uncultured bacterium. Its description in RNAcentral is "partial 16S ribosomal RNA". It matches the Rfam family "Bacterial small subunit ribosomal RNA", at positions 524 to 777 of the family's 1533-position model. The record is from RNAcentral.